CGGGGUGCAGCAGGCGCGAAAACUUUGCAAUGCGGGAAACCGUGACAAGGGAACUCUGAGUGCCCGUUAAAUCGGGCUGUCCAUCGGUUUAAAUAACCGGUGAAGAAAGGGCCGGGCAAGACCGGUGCCAGCCGCCGCAGUAAUACCGGCGGCUCGAGUGGUGGCCACUAUUACUGGGCUUAAAGCGUUCGUAGCUGGUUUGUUAAGUCUCUGGGGAAAUCUUCCGGCUUAACCGGAAGGCGUCUCAGGGAUACUGGCAGACUAGGGACCGGGAGAGGUGAGAGGUACUCCAGGGGUAGGAGUGAAAUCCUGUAAUCCUUGGGGGACCACCUGUGGCGAAGGCGUCUCACCAGAACGGCUCCGACAGUGAGGGACGAAAGCUGGGGGAGCAAACCGGAUUAGAUACCCGGGUAGUCCCAGUUGUAAACGAUGCGCGUUAGGUGUAUCGGUGACCACGAGUCACCGAGGUGCCGAAGAGAGAUCGUGAAACGUGCCGCCUGGGAAGUACGGUCGCAAGGCUGAAACUUAAAGGAAUUGGCGGGGGAGCACAAGGGCGAAUCGCG
This 563-nucleotide ribosomal RNA is filed under the name uncultured archaeon. Its description in RNAcentral is "bacterial SSU rRNA". It matches the Rfam family "Archaeal small subunit ribosomal RNA", at positions 326 to 897 of the family's 1478-position model. The record is from RNAcentral.